RNAcentral lists this ribosomal RNA (465 nucleotides) under uncultured bacterium. RNAcentral's name for it is "bacterial SSU rRNA". It matches the Rfam family "Bacterial small subunit ribosomal RNA", at positions 335 to 798 of the family's 1533-position model. The record is from RNAcentral.
ACUCCUACGGGAGGCAUCAGUGAGGAAUAUUGGACAAUGGGUGGAAGCCUGAUCCAGCCAUCCCGCGUGUAGGAUGACGGCCUUAUGGGUUGUAAACUACUUUUAUCUGGGGAUAAACCUACUUACGUGUAAGUAGCUGAAGGUACCAGAAGAAUAAGCACCGGCUAACUCCGUGCCAGCAGCCGCGGUAAUACGGAGGGUGCAAGCGUUAUCCGGAUUUAUUGGGUUUAAAGGGUCCGUAGGCGGAUUAAUCAGUCAGUGGUGAAAUCUCAUAGCUUAACUAUGAAACUGCCAUUGAUACUGUUAGUCUUGAGUGAUGUUGAAGUUGCUGGAAUGUGUAGUGUAGCGGUGAAAUGCUUAGAUAUUACGCAGAACACCAAUUGCGAAGGCAGGUGACUAAACAUUAACUGACGCUGAUGGACGAAAGCGUGGGGAGCGAACAGGAUUAGAACCCUGGUAGGCUCU